This 254-nucleotide ribosomal RNA is filed under the name uncultured bacterium. RNAcentral describes it as "partial 16S ribosomal RNA". It matches the Rfam family "Bacterial small subunit ribosomal RNA", at positions 524 to 776 of the family's 1533-position model. The record is from RNAcentral.
GACGAACCGUGCGAACGUUAUUCGGAAUCACUGGGCUUAAAGCGCGUGUAGGCGGGGCGGCACGUCGGUCGCUGAAAGCCCCCGGCUCAACCGGGGAACGGGCGCCGAUACGACCGCCCUCGAGGGACGUAGGGGGACCUGGAACUUCCGGUGGAGCGGUGAAAUGCGUUGAGAUCGGAAGGAACGCCCGUGGCGAAAGCGAGGUCCUGGACGUCCGCUGACGCUGAGACGCGAAAGCCAGGGGAGCGAACGGG